Molecule: RNA transcript, 2030 nt
Organism: Macadamia integrifolia
Lineage: Eukaryota; Viridiplantae; Streptophyta; Magnoliopsida; Proteales; Proteaceae
Gene name: S-adenosyl-L-methionine-dependent uroporphyrinogen III methyltransferase, chloroplastic-like
Exons: 6
Source: RefSeq, a predicted model, not a curated record
UGCAACUCAAAAGACAAAAGUAGAAAGCCCGGUAGUGUAGCAGAAGGGUCCAAAUGAAUCUGACCCCAUUAGCGUCACAAUUCAGAAAACCACUCUGACCUUAGCAUUCUCCCCAAACACCACAUGUCCUGCAACAAAGCCGCCUUCUCUUGCCCCCGCUUUCGAUCUUUCCUUCUGUGCAUAGAUAUAAAUAUGUUCCCUCUAACGCAUGCUCGAAUCUCUGUCUGUUAUUUCUCUUCUUAAUUUCUCCGUGUCUUAGAUUUCUAAUAUGGCUGUCGUCAAUCGACUCCCAUCUCUCUCUGCUUCUAAUUCUCAUUCUUCAUUCCUCUCUAGAAAACCCAGCUCUAUUAAUCUUCAAAAGCCCUUUUGCUCUUUGUCCAACAAACCGCACUCCUCGUCAUCCCCUUCUCCCUUCACAGAAAAACACUCCCUCGAGAGAUACCAAAGAGAUAGCUGGUUAUACAAAGACCCAUCUCUCAAUGCCUCUUCUUCUCUCCCAAUCGAUUCCGAUUCCAUUCAUUCCAUUCGAGGGAACGAUAUUGCCCUGCAACUGCCAGAGCUGAAGAAGCUACUUGAGGUUUUGAAAGAGAAACGAGAGACUGAAGGAUCGAACGGGAAGAAUAGAGGGCCAGGAAAUGUGUUCUUGGUCGGGACUGGGCCUGGAGAUCCGGAGCUCUUGACGCUAAAGGCGUUGAGAGUGAUUGAAAGUGCUGAUCUUUUGUUGUACGAUCGGUUGGUGUCCAAUGAUGUUUUGAACUUGGUGAGACCAGAAGCGAGGCUUCUUUAUGUUGGCAAGACUGCUGGUUACCAUAGCCGAACUCAGGAGGAGAUCCAUGAGUUGCUUCUGAGCUUUGCAGAAGCUGGUGCUACUGUUGUACGGCUAAAAGGAGGGGAUCCAUUGGUAUUUGGGAGGGGUGGAGAGGAGAUGGAUUUCUUGCAACGACAAGGGAUUCAAGUCAAGGUUAUUCCAGGCAUUACAGCUGCUUCAGGAAUAGCGGCAGAAUUGGGAAUUCCAUUGACUCACCGGGGUGUUGCAAAUAGUGUGAGAUUUCUUACAGGGCACUCGAGGAAAGGAGGUAGUGAUCCUCUGUAUGUGGCAGAGCAUGCAGCAGAUCCUGAUUCAACCUUGGUUAUCUACAUGGGCUUGUCUACCCUCCCAUCUCUUGCUCAGAAGUUGAUGCAGCACGGUUUACCAUCUGAUACACCUGCUGCUGCAAUAGAACGAGGGACUACCCCUCAACAACAGGUGGUAUUUGCAGAACUUAAGGAUCUCAUCGCUGAAGUUACCUCAGCAAACUUGGUUUCACCAACACUAAUCAUCAUUGGGAAGGUGGUUGCACUCUCGCCGUUCUGGCCCCACUAUUCAAAAGAAGCAGCAAUUUUGGUGGAGACUUAGUAGUGAAGUUCAGGAUAUCCAAGAAAAAAGAACAAAAGUGUUUAUGUUUGAACAUGGUUUUAACUGAGGCCUUCAAUGUGCUACUUUUGAAGGAUAAAAUAAUCGGUGUGGUUUCUUGCACAUCAUGGAGGCACAUUGUCUGGGUUGUUUUCUACCUGGUUGAAUUGGAGCGGAGUGGAACUGCUAUUACAGCCAGAACCGGACAUCAUCUGAGAUUUUUGUUAUUGUGGCAAUGAGUGGGUUAUUGUCCACAUUGCAUCCAAUAAAUGGAAGGAAGAAUCUCAUCAACUACAUUGAUAUGUGGAAAUUCCCUCAACUGUAGGUCUGCAACCAGGGGGGAAGAAAUUGAAGGAAGAAAAGAAAAAAGCUUUAUCAUGCUCUGUGUUCUUGCUUGCAAGUAUCUCUACAAGAUGGAAAAAAUUGUGCACAUAUAUUUCGCGCAGUCUGCCUAGGGUAAUAGCAGCACUUCUUUCUACUUUUAUCUUCUGUAUUUAGGUGUGCAUGAGCUUGUUCUGAGCAAUUUACAGGUAGAAUAUUAAAACAUUCAGUAUCAUAUCUGUGAGUGCGGUUUAAUUUCAAUUUCUUUUAUUGAAAUCCUAAUAUUAAUACUGAAUUUCUGACCGAUGUUCCUGAA